CCUCUCCUAGAAAAGAAAUUAAACACUUGACAUUGUUACUGUGUUGAUAGGACACCAUGAUUCCAUAAAUACGAUGAUGCAAGGGGAAGGAGAAGUGGAAAACAUUCCGCACUGUACGAUGUUGUUCCUUCACCGCCGUCUAUGCACCACCGCCACCAGAACAAAGGUUCCUUCAAAGUACAAGAACCUUGCUCUCUCUCAAGCCCAGAAGAUCCUCACUGAUUACCUUCAUUCCACAAGGUCCAUCCCUUAUGCCUUUGCUGAUCAGAUUGCUGCUAAUUCUCACACUUCUAUCUCUAACCUCAUUGCAAAGGUGGGAUUUUCAGCUCCGUCUUUCUCCCACACCCUCAACAAGUUCCUCAGGUACAACCCCAUCAAUGAAUUUGAGUUCUUUUUUGAAAGCAUUGGCAUAAAGUAUAGUCAAGUUCCUAACUUGUUGCCACCCCAUAAGUUUUUCUUCUCUGAAGAUGGCUCUAUUUUAGAUGCUGCUUGUGUGCUCUAUGAAUUUGGGUUCCCUUGGGAUAAGCUUGGUUUGCUUUAUGUGGAACGUUGUUCUGUGUUUAGGUGUAAUACUGAUGAGUUGAAGGGCAGGCUGUGUGUGCUGAAAAGUUAUGGUUUUUGCAGUGUUCAGGUCAUUGGGAUAUGUUUGGCUUUCCCUUUUGUUUUUGGUGAGCAGGGAGGAGUGUUGGAAGCUGAGAUUGAUGGGCUACUUGCUGAUCUCAGGUUGGUUUUUCUGGAUUUUGAUUUGGCAGGGUUUGUUGAGGGGAAUGCAGAUUCUUGGUACGAGGUAUGUAGGAAAAUUCGGGUUUUUUACAAUUUGAAUAGUGAGAAGGGUAAGAUGGGGGAACUCAUUGGAAGGUAUAAGAAUGUGAUUCUUGAGCAUGGAGAAGAGGAGUUGAUGCAGAAAGCUGAGUAUUUUUCUAGGUUUGGUGUCAAGAAGGAGGAAGUAGCUCGAUUGAUCCUACAUGACUCGGAAUUGUUGAAUUUUGAUUUCGAAACGCCGGUGAUCAAUGUAUUGAAGCUGUUGAAACACUUUGGCAUGAGCUCCAAGGAUCUCGAGGAUGUGCAGCGAAACUAUGCUCAUGCAUUGGGAACAAUAAAAAUGGUUAAUUUGCCUAAUGUAAUGAGGGCUUUGGGUUUAAGUAAGUGGUUCUUUAAUAGGAUAAAGGACGGGACGCAUCAACUCUUACUGACUUAUGUCACAAGCUUUCCCAAUGAAGACCAAGAUAAAGGAUAUCAAGAUGGUUUAAAGGCGAUUCGUGCUUCGAGAACCCCAGUUCACACCAUGAAUAAACUGAAUUUCUUGCAUGCCUUAGGCUUUGGAGAAACUGCUUUGACCAUGGCUAUCCUAACUUACUUGAAUGGGACUAGCAGCGAGUUACAGGAACGAUUCGAUUGCCUUCUUCAUUUAGGGAUUGAAUUCUCAAAGCUCUCAAAGAUAGUUGCAAUUCGACCUAAGGUUCUAAGCCAACACCCGAAAAUCAUUGAGAAAAAGAUUAAGUUCCUCUAUGAGGAAAUGGGAUCCUCUGUGGAGCUUUUGGACACUUUUCCAGCAUUCUUAUGUUUUGACUUGGAAAAGCGCAUUAAACCUAGGUUCAGAUUCUAUAUGUGGAUGAUAGAAAAGGGUUAUUGUGCCAAAAACUUCUCUAUAGCAACCAUGAUUGCGACCAGCGACAAGAACUUUGUUCCUCAUGCUUUUCGUAUCCACCCAGCUGCUCCGAAACAUUGGUUUGAGCAAUUCUAUCUCCGCAAAUUGCCGGAAUGAUGAAUCUGUACAGAUUCUUAAUACUUGGUUAUAAUUCUUCUUCUGGAGUUGAAGACAAAAACAUUUGAGAUAUUGCUAGAAAACUUGUUACAGAGAUGCAUUUCCUUUGCAGUGGCAGUGAGAUAGACAUCAAGAACAACCUGCAAGUAUCUUGCAUAGUUCUUACUGACAUCCUAUCUCGGAUUUGAGAUAAAGAAACCAUGAAUUCUGUGCACCUUUAGUCAUGCUUCUACAAAGUGAUUAUGUUAGAGGGAGCUAUCAAGACUGGGAAUGGCUUCCUAAACCAUUGAUGUUGGUGCUUGUGGAAGGUGAUGGAGUUGAGAUCAAAUCUUUUCAUUUGAUGGUUAUGGCCCCCAAAAGUAAAAGAAACCUUGUAACUGUGAAUCUGUGAUCAUUCCUGAAAGAAAACAAGCUACCAAGUUCUUCACAAAGUGCAAGCAUUGAUAAUUUGAUAGGAUUGCAAGUAACACUAGGUGGAUCAUUAUGAAUUUAUGGGGUAACUAGAUCAAUUGAGCACUUGUAUAAGGGGCAAAGUAAUUGGCCUACAUUCUCAUCAUUAACCAAAUGUUUCAUUAUCAAGAGAGAAGCAAGAAAUGUAAGUUGAGCAAUUAUUAUUUUUUUUUUCUGGGCUUCUAUUUGUUGAGGUUGUUCAUCAUAUGGCAAUAUGGAAACUGUUAUAUUAACCACAAAUUUGAUACUAAAGUUUU
RNA transcript from Arachis ipaensis, 2472 nucleotides. It is a transcript of the gene named transcription termination factor MTEF18, mitochondrial-like, with no coding region annotated. The record is from RefSeq and is a predicted model, not a curated record. NCBI's taxonomy places the organism in Eukaryota, Viridiplantae, Streptophyta, Magnoliopsida, Fabales, Fabaceae.